AUUGAACGCUGGCGGCAUGCCUUACACAUGCAAGUCGAACGGCAGCACGGGAGCAAUCCUGGUGGCGAGUGGCGAACGGGUGAGUAAAGUAUCGGAACGUGCCCAGUCGAGGGGGAGAACGUAGCGAAAGAUACGCUUAUAACGCACACGAUCUAUGGAUGAAAGCGGGGGAUCGCAAGAACUUGCGCGAUUGGAGCGGCCGAUAUCAGAUUAGGUAGAUGGUGGGGUAAAGGCUCACCAAGCCGACGAUCUGUAGCUGGUGUGAGAGGACGACCAGCCACACUGGGACUGAGACACGGCCCAGACUCCUACGGGAGGCAGCAGUGGGGAAUUUUGGACAAUGGGCGCAAGCCUGAUCCAGCCAUGCCGCGUGCAGGAUGAAGGCCUUCGGGUUGUAAACUGCUUUUGUACGGAACGAAAAGGUUUGACUUAAUACGUUGGACUCAUGACGGUACCGUAAGAAUAAGCACCGGCUAACUACGUGCCAGCAGCCGCAGUAA
This 500-nucleotide ribosomal RNA is filed under the name uncultured bacterium. RNAcentral's name for it is "partial 16S ribosomal RNA". It matches the Rfam family "Bacterial small subunit ribosomal RNA", at positions 30 to 523 of the family's 1533-position model. The record is from RNAcentral.